ACACGACUCGUCCCUUAAUUCAUUAACAUAAACACACUGUAAGCAUUCUGGUCAGCAAACCCCCAAGAAACACAUGACUCUCUUUCUCUCUCUCUCUCUCUCUCUCUAACACACCCACACACACGCACGCACACCCACAUACCCACAUACACACACACUUCAGACACUGUCACCAGAGCUCAUAAAUGUAAAAUUUACACUAUCUACAGAACUGUCACCCUGGGAAAACACAUGUGUAGGACGGUGUGUAUAGGCCUACAAGACAUCGCCCCGGAAAAUGUGUCUUCUAGUUUAAACAAAACUCUCGAUUCUUUUAAGCAGCACUUUAAACAUUUUACACCCUAAAGGGUUAGGUUUAGAAGGCAUGUAAUACGCACGUUUCUUAUAAAACACCGUCUUUAAAAUGUUUACCUCCUAAAGGGACCUAUUUAGAAGAGUGUUAGAGGACCUGUAGACUGAACAAAUACUAAGGACAUUACAAUGUGAGUAUCAUUUCACUUACAAUUAAAUUCUACUAAAGCAAUGAAUUUGGGGCAUGUUCUCAAUAGUGAUAUGACCAAUAGUGGACUCGUGUAUAGGCUACACCUGCUAAUACAUUUGAUGGACUAUUUUGCACUACUACACGUAGCUAAUGCUAGUCAUAUUUAGCAGUGUAAUUGGAAUAUCUACUCUUUAGUUUACCGUUGCAGUGGAUAAGAAGGAAAAAGUUUCAUUUGACAAAUCUGCUCAUCUAGAGAGGGCUUUUCAUUUGUGCUAUAGGAAAGAUAAGAAUGAUUACAUUUCUGCUUAUUCAUGUAAACCUCAACUACAUUGUGUAAUCUAAUUUCAUGUAUUGAUACAUUUUUUUAUUUUAUUUUUUAAAAGCUUUUGUCAUUCGCACACGUAGCCUUUUAGCUCCACAGCCUUUGGACUGUGGACAGUUCUAUGAGAGAGAUCAAAGUAGUAGACACAGAGUGUUUAUUUUUGUCUAUAUUGCUCAUUUCAUUCAGUGCUUUAACGUCUAUAAAUCCUGCAGAGAUGUUACGUAUGAGAUUUGUAAUGUAAAUCACACUGGAUUUUACUUACUAUUGUUAUAAAACUUAAAGGCAGUCAUUUUUUUCUGGUUUAAAAGACUGCAUUCUACUGCAGACAAUCUAUAUGGAGAAAUGUAAUUUUAAAAAUGAUUGUCAACUUAACAACUUGUGUUCAUCAUUAUGGUAAUUUAGUACAUAACACUUAAAUUCCUUGUAAAUAAUGUGAAAAUAAAGUGUGUUUGUGUGUGUCAUAUUUUUGUUUGGAUGUCUGUGUGUAAUACACAUGGCCAUUCCAUGUAUAGUAACAUUUGUGUCAGGAAUGUAUGGGAUCCCGAUUUAACAUAACUAGCAACGUUUGUGUCAGGAAUAGAUGGGAACCCGAUUUAACAUAACUAUAUAUAUUUUUACGACCUACCUCAGAGUGUUAGAAAGACCAUGUGUGCAACGUGUGUGGGUGGAAUACACAUGGCCGUACCAGGUAUGGUAACGUUUGUGUCACGAAAUGUAUGUGAUCCAGAUUUAACAUAACUAUAUAUAUUUUUAUGACCUACUACAGAGUGUUAGAAAGAACAUGUGUGCAAUGUGUGUGGGGUGGAAAACACAUGGCCGUACCAUGUAUGGUAACGUUUCUGUCACGUAUGGAUGUGAUCCAGAUUUAACAUAACUAUAAAUAAUUUUAUGAUCAUGACCUUUGUUGUGGAUAAAAAAUGUCAUAAAAUAAAGGGGAGAAGAAGAAAAGACGGGCACCUAGACACAUAGAAGUGGGAUUAGGCGGACAUUGACAAAUUGGAAUUACACUUUAAAGAUCUUUAAGAGCAGUAGUAGUCAAAAAAGUCAAAAAGAGGUAUACGAGCUGAGCUGAGGAGUGCUAAUACACACACACACACACACACACGCUUGUACGGUCAAGGGCGGGCAAGUAGACACAACAUACACACACUCUCUCUUUCUCAUACACACACAUGAAUAACUUUAAUAAUAUCUUAUAGUAAUAGAGAAACUCUAUUAAAAAAAACAGAAUAGGAUAUGCAGGACAGUAGAACUGUAAUGAUAUUAAGAAGUUGGAAGUACAGUAAACCGCUUUUCAAGUAGUAUAAAUAUAUAUAAAAUAAGAAAUAUAGUGCAUAUAUGAAAAUAAAUUAUAAACUAGAAAUACAGGAAAAUGUAAACUUACUCAUGACUCAAAUGGUGAGGGUUCUUGGCUCACAAGGAAGGCCUUAAUUUUAAGAAAGAACCAUGAGGAGCCAGUUAUAAGGGUGGCUGGGUCAAACUGCCCCCCCUCGAGAUAACGAUAAGACCAAGGUCCCUCUAGGUUGUUUAGUCUUGUCCACGGUCUACUCUCUGGGUAAAUGAAAAUGCUGGUUUCUGAUGCCCUAAGGUAACUGAAAAUUCUGGUUUCUGAUGCCCUAGGUAACUGAAAAUUCUGGUUUCUGAUCCUCUGAGUAACUAGAAACUCUGGGUUUUUAUUUUCUGGGCUAUUAGAAAUGCCUGGGUUCUGAUUUUAUGUGUAAAUUAAAACCCCUGGUUUCAAUUCUAUGUGUAAGUGAAAUAGCCCUUUUCUGGAACAUAAGAGUAAGGUAAAUGAGCUCUUUUUUAACCCUAUUGGUAGUGAUAUCAUAGUCUUUUUGAAACAUAUGGGUUAUUUAGUGUGUAAAUACAGUAUAAAUACUGGAGCUUAAGCUCAGGGUAUUGGGAUCACCUCUGAGAAUUCUCAUCGGUGUGGAUCUCGUGUGGUGGAACGGAACAAUAAAGCUGGACCCUUGCUUCUUCUCACUCACGGCUGGUGUAUUUUUUCUAUCUCCAACUGGGCUCAGAGGUAGAUGUAAUGAAGCAACUGUACAUUCAACAUUGCUUACCACCCAGAGUCCCAAGGUGCAUUAGAAAGGUUCCAUCAGAAAGUGUAAAGUCUACGCUUCAAACUUCCUGCUUAAGUCAGUGAAAAGAUUCCUUUGUUAUUGUUUGCUAUCCAUGAUGG
Ictalurus punctatus (channel catfish) is the source of this 2988-nucleotide long non-coding RNA. Lineage: Eukaryota; Metazoa; Chordata; Actinopteri; Siluriformes; Ictaluridae. The record is from Ensembl.